This 442-nucleotide ribosomal RNA is filed under the name uncultured bacterium. RNAcentral's name for it is "partial 16S ribosomal RNA". It matches the Rfam family "Bacterial small subunit ribosomal RNA", at positions 338 to 795 of the family's 1533-position model. The record is from RNAcentral.
CCUACGGGAGGCUGCAGUGGGGAAUAUUGGGCAAUGGGCGCAAGCCUGACCCAGCAACGCCGCGUGAAGGAAGAAGGCUUUCGGGUUGUAAACUUCUUUUAAGAGGGAAGAGCAGGAGACUUUACCUCUUGAAUAAGCCACGGCUAACUACGUGCCAGCCGCCGCGGUAAGACGUAGGUGGCAAGCGUUGUCCGGAUUUACUGGGUGUAAUGGGCGUGCAGCCGGGAAGACAAGUCAGAUGUGAAAGCCCGCGGCUCAACCGCGGAACUGCAUUUGAAACGGUUUUUCUUGAGUACCGGAGAGGUCAUCGGAAUUCCUGGUGUAGCGGUGAAAUGCGUAGAUAUAAGGAAGAACACCAGUGGCGAAGGCGGAUGACUGGACGGCAACUGACGGUGAGGCGCGAAAGCGUGGGGAGCAAACAGGAUUAGAUACCCGUGUAGUC